Oncorhynchus kisutch (coho salmon) is the source of this 1689-nucleotide long non-coding RNA. RefSeq lists it as uncharacterized. The transcript is spliced from 7 exons. The record is from RefSeq and is a predicted model, not a curated record. Lineage: Eukaryota; Metazoa; Chordata; Actinopteri; Salmoniformes; Salmonidae.
UUGAUUGGUGGCAGAAGCGAUUAUUCCAAUCUCAUUGGAUGUCAUCCUGCCAGUUUCCUGACGACCGCAGCAUUUCAGGAAGAACAUCCAGACUGGUGAAAAGCGUGUUAUCCGCAGCACAGUUUGAGUGAUGGCGGCUCCCAGAAAGUAGCGUUGUUUCGCCUGCCUUCCCUGCCCACCAUUGGGGAGGUAAUCAAGCUGUACAAGCUGCGAGCAAAGAAACAGCUGUCCCAGAACGUUCUGCUGGACAUGAGGCUCACAGAUAAGAUUGUAUGCCAGGCAGGCAGUCUGAGGGACACCCAUGUGUGUGAGGUGGGUCCAGGACCUGGAGGGCUGACCCACUCCAUCCUCAAUGCUGGGGCUGCAGACCUGCUGGUGGUGGAGAAGGACAACCGCUUCAUACACGGACUAAAUCUUUUGUCUGAAGCAGCACCAAGGAAGCUCAGGGUUGUCCAUGGUGACAUACUCACGUCCAGAAUGGACCGAGGAUUCCCAAAAGUCAUAACCAAGGCAUGGGAGGAUGAUCCACCGGACCUGCAUAUCAUUGGGAACCUUCCAUUCAGUGUGCCCACUCCUCUCAUCAUCAAGUGGCUGGAGAACAUAUCCAACAGAACUGGACCCUUUGUUACGGCCAGACCAGACUGACCCUUACCUUUCAGAAGGAGGUGGCAGAGGGCUAGAAAUGACACAACAUGCUGGGUUCCCCUCUCCAGAGGUUGACAGCCAGCACAGCCAGCAGGCAGAGGAGUCGUCUGUCCAUCAUGGCCCAGUACCUCUGUGCUGUCAAGAGCUUCUUCACCAUCCCAGGACGGGCCUUCAUCCCCAAACUUGAGAAUGCUAUUAACGGAGACAGAGGCUGGAGCUGGCGGAGGUGAUGAUGCAGGAGGCAGACGUGGACCCCACCCUACGCCCCACAUCCCUGACAGAGGACUGGCGGACGUCUACAGCUGCCUCUGCUCUGAGAACCAGGGCCUCCUCACCUAUGACUUCAGACUCAAACACCUUAACAGGCGAUCAGGCAGCAGCACUCAGCAGCCCCUGACAGAGAGAGAGAGAGGCUAGAAGGACAGAGGGGAAGGAGUGCCUAAUGGUCUCUGUUAGAGCCAACAGACUGCUCUUAGCUCUAACCUUUCUACCAGGCACACGCAUGCAUUUUUAAACACCAUUUCUCUGGUGUCCCGGAGGUGCUUAGUGAGACACAGGGAAUCUCUGGUGUCCCGGAGGUGCUUGGUGAGACACAGGGAAUCUCUGGUGUCCCGGAGGUGCUUGGUGAGACACAGGGAAUCUCUGGUGCCCCGGAGGUGCUUGGUGAGACACAGGGAAUCUCUGGUGCCCCGGAGGUGCUUGGUGAGACACAGGGAAUCUCUGGUGUCCCGGAGGUGCUUGGUGAGACACAGGGAAUCUCUAACACACAGAUCAGACUAAAGCUCAGGCAGUCCAGUUAUAAAGGAAGAAUAGUGUGUGAAAUGACCAGCAGGAGAGUUAAGUGGUGAGAAGAGUUUAAUGCUCAACCCAUCAUGUCCUGGUCCUUACUUAUGAUCCUGAUUUCCCCAUAUGACUUUGUCCUCUGGGAAAUGAGUCCGGAAACUUUUUCAGGACAAUUUAGAGAAUAAGAAAAUGUUGACGGUAUUCAGACCACUCCUUUGUCUCACUGGGUGUUUUGUUAAAUAAAGUGAUGAUGGAACAAUG